RNAcentral lists this ribosomal RNA (497 nucleotides) under uncultured bacterium. RNAcentral describes it as "partial 16S ribosomal RNA". It matches the Rfam family "Bacterial small subunit ribosomal RNA", at positions 28 to 507 of the family's 1533-position model. The record is from RNAcentral.
GAUGAACGCUGGCGGCGUGCCUAAUACAUGCAAGUCGAGCGAACGGACGAGAAGCUUGCUUCUCUGAUGUUAGCGGCGGACGGGUGAGUAACACGUGGAUAACCUACCUAUAAGACUGGGAUAACUUCGUGAAACCGGAGCUAAUACCGGAUAAUAUUUUGAACCGCAUGGUUCAAAAGUGAAAGACGGUCUUGCUGUCAUUUAUAGAUGGAUCCGCGCUGCAUUAGCUAGUUGGUAAGGUAACGGCUUACCAAGGCAACGAUGCAUAGCCGCCCUGAGAGGAUGAUCGGCCACACUGGAACUGAGACACGGUCCAGAAUCCUACGGGAGGCAGCAGUAGGGAAUCUUCCGCAAUGGGCGAAAGCCUGACGGAGCAACGCCGCGUGAGUGAUGAAGGUCUUCGGAUCGUAAAACUCUGUUAUUAGGGAAGAACAUAUGUGUAAGUAACUGUGCACAUCUUGACGGUACCUAAUCAGAAAGCCACGGCUAACUACGUG